RNAcentral lists this ribosomal RNA (484 nucleotides) under uncultured bacterium. RNAcentral's name for it is "partial 16S ribosomal RNA". It matches the Rfam family "Bacterial small subunit ribosomal RNA", at positions 30 to 507 of the family's 1533-position model. The record is from RNAcentral.
AUUGAACGCUGGCGGCAGGCCUAACACAUGCAAGUCGAGCGGUUGAAGGGAGCUUGCUCCUGGAUUCAGCGGCGGACGGGUGAGUAAUGCCUAGGAAUCUGCCUGGUAGUGGGGGAUAACGUCCGGAAACGGGCGCUAAUACCGCAUACGUCCCGAGGGAGAAAGUGGGGGAUCUUCGGACCUCACGCUAUCAGAUGAGCCUAGGUCGGAUUAGCUAGUUGGUGGGGUAAAGGCCUACCAAGGCGACGAUCCGUAACUGGUCUGAGAGGAUGAUCAGUCACACUGGAACUGAGACACGGUCCAGACUCCUACGGGAGGCAGCAGUGGGGAAUAUUGGACAAUGGGCGAAAGCCUGAUCCAGCCAUGCCGCGUGUGUGAAGAAGGUCUUCGGAUUGUAAAGCACUUUAAGUUGGGAGGAAGGGCAGUAAGUUAAUACCUUGCUGUUUUGACGUUACCAACAGAAUAAGCACCGGCUAACUUCGUG